AACGAACGCUGGCGGCAGGCUUAACACAUGCAAGUCGAGCGCCCCGAAAGGGGAGCGGCAGACGGGUGAGUAACGCGUGGGAAUGUGCCCUUUGGUCUGGAAUAACUCAGGGAAACUUGAGCUAAUACCGGAUAAGCCCUUCGGGGGAAAGAUUUAUUGCCAUUGGAGCAGCCCGCGUCAGAUUAGCUAGUUGGUGAGGUAAAAGCUCACCAAGGCGAUGAUCUGUAGCUGGUCUGAGAGGACGACCAGCCACACUGGGACUGAGACAAGGCCCAGACUCCUACGGGAGGCAGCAGUGGGGAAUAUUGGACAAUGGGGGCAACCCUGAUCCAGCCAUGCCGCGUGAGUGAUGAGGCCUUAGGGUUGUAAAGCUCUUUUACUCGGGAAGAUAAUGACUGUACCGAGAGAAUAAGCCCCGGCUAACUUCGUGCCAGCAGCCGCCGUAA
RNAcentral lists this ribosomal RNA (446 nucleotides) under uncultured bacterium. RNAcentral describes it as "partial 16S ribosomal RNA". It matches the Rfam family "Bacterial small subunit ribosomal RNA", at positions 29 to 523 of the family's 1533-position model. The record is from RNAcentral.